Molecule: ribosomal RNA, 301 nt
Filed under: uncultured bacterium
Lineage: Bacteria
Description: partial 16S ribosomal RNA
Rfam family: Bacterial small subunit ribosomal RNA
Source: RNAcentral
CAGUAGCCACGGUAAUACGAAGGGGGCUAGCGUUGUUCGGAUUAACUGGGCGUAAAAGGCGCGUAGGCGGGUUUUUAAGUCAGAGGUGAAAUCCCAAGGCUCAACCUUGGAACUGCCUUUGAUACUGGAAGUCUUGAGUCCGGGAGAGGUGAGUGGAACUGCGAGUGUAGAGGUGAAAUUCGUAGAUAUUCGCAAGAACACCAGUGGCGAAGGCGGCUCACUGGCCCGGUACUGACGCUGAGGUGCGAAAGCGUGGGGAGCAAACAGGAUUAGAUACCCCUGUAGUCCCUGUCUCUUAUAU